AUUGAACGCUGGCGGCAUGCUUUACACAUGCAAGUCGAACGGCAGCACGGGCUUCGGCCUGGUGGCGAGUGGCGAACGGGUGAGUAAUGCAUCGGAACGUGCCCAUUUGUGGGGGAGUAACUACGCGAAAGCGUGGCUAAUACCGCAUACGCCCUGAGGGGGAAAGCGGGGGAGUUCUUCGGAACCUCGCGCAAUUGGAGCGGCCGAUGUCAGAUUAGCUUGUUGGUGAGGUAAAGGCUCACCAAGGCGACGAUCUGUAGCGGGUCUGAGAGGAUGAUCCGCCACACUGGGACUGAGACACGGCCCAGACUCCUACGGGAGGCAGCAGUGGGGAAUUUUGGACAAUGGGGGCAACCCUGAUCCAGCCAUGCCGCGUGAGUGAAGAAGGCCUUCGGGUUGUAAAGCUCUUUCAGCCGGGAAGAAAGCGCACUCUCUAACAUAGGGUGUGGAUGACGGUACCGGAAGAAGAAGCACCGGCUAACUACGUG
Molecule: ribosomal RNA, 488 nt
Filed under: uncultured bacterium
Lineage: Bacteria
Description: bacterial SSU rRNA
Rfam family: Bacterial small subunit ribosomal RNA
Source: RNAcentral